Molecule: ribosomal RNA, 155 nt
Filed under: Hymenoscyphus sp. A TL-2012
Lineage: Eukaryota; Fungi; Ascomycota; Leotiomycetes; Helotiales; Helotiaceae
Description: partial 5.8S ribosomal RNA
Rfam family: 5.8S ribosomal RNA
About the family: 5.8S ribosomal RNA (5.8S rRNA) is a component of the large subunit of the eukaryotic ribosome. It is transcribed by RNA polymerase I as part of the 45S precursor that also contains 18S and 28S rRNA.
Source: RNAcentral
CUUUCAACAACGGAUCUCUUGGUUCUGGCAUCGAUGAAGAACGCAGCGAAAUGCGAUAAGUAAUGUGAAUUGCAGAAUUUAGUGAAUCAUCGAAUCUUUGAACGCACAUUGCGCCCUGUGGUAUUCCGCAGGGCAUGCCUGUUCGAGCGUCAUUA